Lacerta agilis (Sand lizard) is the source of this 1705-nucleotide long non-coding RNA. RefSeq lists it as uncharacterized. The record is from RefSeq and is a predicted model, not a curated record. The transcript has 4 exons. Lineage: Eukaryota; Metazoa; Chordata; Lepidosauria; Squamata; Lacertidae.
UGUAAACAACGGGGAAGGGAGAGGAGGGAGGAGGAGUUUGUGACUCCCUGUUGGGUAUUAUUGACACUAGUCUCGGUGUUGUUUUCUAGCCGUUGUGUGGAAAUGACACUCGUCUAUAGAUUUUUACAGUCAAAUGCCAGGCUUCAUAUUUUUUGUUCUCCCUCCCUCCCUCCCUCUCUUUCUCUAUAAUCUAAUUUUUCCCAGCUCCACCUUUGUUGUUAAGGGCGUCAUCUCCGGCUGCAGCCAAUCAUCUGCUUUCAGGGUUGCCUGUCAAAUUAACGCCGGUUCCAAUACGCAAAAGCGACUUUUACAGACAGACCCGAAUGCAAUUAGGAGUUAUGGGUUGGAGAGGCGGGGAAGGGGGCAGAGGGAGCUAAUCAACGCGCCCGCCCUCGCCUCUCCCCUCCUCCCCCUUCCCGAGCAACCCGCGUUAAAAACGGGCCACCGCGGAUGAGCGGCGCUCGUCUGUUUUCCGUGAUGUUUUCCCAGUUGGAACCGGGAAUAGUUUCUCCGCUUCCCGGGAUUUCUGGGAUAGGCGGGUGUGUGCGUCUCGCCUGCUUGUCUCUCAUACAGAACAGAACAUGGAAGUAUGUUCUAAUGAGGGGAGCUCAUUAACAGCCCACCUGUACCACAACCUGUUUCCUUCAAUGUACCUGCCACAUCGAACUGGACUGCUUUGACUGACUUCAGCUUGCCUCUUCAACCUCAAUGAUUUUGGCCUAGUUUUCACACUGGUGGCCAAGCUGUGCCUAGACUGUAUCCCUUCAGGUGGAAGAUGAAGGUUCAGGUGAUCAAAUACUCCUCUGUUUAAAAAUACAUAAAUCCCUGCACCCAGAAAACUAGCAAUUCAGGAAUAAGGACAGGUGAUAACUUUUCCCCUCUUUUAAUUUUCUUGGUGGAGAAAAUGCCUUUGUCAGUAUCAUCAGUCUCCAAGACACACUUCUUUAGUGAGUCGACCACAGAACCUCUGUUCACACAAGAACUGCAGUCCUCAAUCUCUCCAUGGAUGUCUGUGCAUUCUAGGUAUGCUUAUUUUGUUUUGCACGGUAAAUAAAGCCAAACCAAAUGUUAAUUUUUAAAAAGCCCUCCUCUUUGUGUCCUAGGGUGCCUCCAGAUUGCCUGUAUUCUUCAAGAGGGAUAUAAAAGCUAAAGGAACGCUGUUUGUGCCUUUAAAGUGGAUUAAAGUGCUUUGUUGCCCCAGCACAACAAAAUACACUGUAAACAAACCUCAUUGUUCCAGUUACAGGCCAUGCAGAGACCUGAAUCUAAACCUCCUGUUGCUCAGCGAGGACGAGGAGCCAAACGAUACUUACAUACUUGAGUUCAACAUUGCUGAAGAAAAAUGGCAGCAGGAAGCGUCUCACAGGCACUGUCAGGAUGAGGAGGAAAGGCAAGGCGAGGGAGGCUGGGGUGGAUUUCACUACCCACAGCAAGACCAGGCACAAAAUCUGGGUGAAGGUGAAGAGGUGCAUCCGCAAAGGCUUUACCUUUAAAGGAAGAAGACCCAAGAAACAGUCAGGUGUCAGCCGUCUACCUGUCUCCCGCCUGACAACCAAGAUCGUAUUCUACAUUUCAACAUUGUACAACUCCCUGAUAUUUCAUGAGAUGGCAGUAUAGAAAUACUUAUUUUGUAAGUAAAUAAUAUCUACUUUGAUCCCUACACACCCUCAAAAUUGGAAUCUGCGUCAGAAGAACUCACCUACAA